Molecule: long non-coding RNA, 694 nt
Organism: Hevea brasiliensis (rubber tree)
Lineage: Eukaryota; Viridiplantae; Streptophyta; Magnoliopsida; Malpighiales; Euphorbiaceae
Exons: 2
Source: RefSeq, a predicted model, not a curated record
AAGAAUCAACUUAAAUAAAUAUAGAUUUUAAAAUUUUUUUAAUAAAAAUAGGGGAUCAAUUAAUUUCUCAUUAUAAAAAUAUAAUCUCUAUAAAAAAAAAGAUUUAAUACUUAAAUUUAAAGAGGGGUCAAUUUCCAAAACACUUGUAUAUAUAUUGAGUAAUUUCAAAAAAAAAAAAAAGGGAUCAAUUGACCACUCAUUCAUGCAAAUACAUCCGCCACUGUUUAAGGCCUAGGAUGCACGGAAACGAGAGGCGGGAGCGUUUCCCCGUUCUGGAAAGGACGCAACGAGGAAACGUCUUCGGGCCGUUUCCGUAAUUCCUUGAAAUCGGAAACGCGUUUCCUUCGCCGGACACGCGUUUCUUUAAAAAAAACAAAAAAAAAAGAAGAAGAAGAAGAAGAAGAAGAGGAGAAGGAGGAGGAGUACCUGGUGGGGCAGCGUGCCGGCGAUGGGAGGUGACUGGUCUCUGCUUCCUUCCCCAUCCGAUGCUCUGCCAAUCAGCCUCCCUUCCCCGAUGGCGCUGCUCCUUCUUUGAUGGCUCUGCUCCUUCCCCGAAUCCUAAUACCCACGUUAUUUCCUAUUUGAAAAUUUUUUUUAAUCAUUAUUUUUUUUUAUUCAAUUUUCACUGUAUUAAAACUUUCAACCUUUAUUUUCAGCAUUUUAAUAUUAAUUUUAUUAUUCUAUAUAUUUAUUA